This 591-nucleotide long non-coding RNA is filed under the name Homo sapiens (human). RNAcentral describes it as "HSALNT0335832". The record is from RNAcentral. Lineage: Eukaryota; Metazoa; Chordata; Mammalia; Primates; Hominidae.
CGGGACUGCAGGUCUAUCCGCUAAGCGCGCGUGACCAAAAACGGCUCUCAGCGGGUCCCAGCUGACGGAAGCUGACAAGUUUAUUUAAUCCCUGAACCUGGAUCCAAGGCAUCUCCCUGUAGAAAACAUCAGACCGGGGCAGAGAUUGACAAAGCAACCCAAAGCAGCAGCUGCCAACGGCCGCUGUGCCCACCUCAUCAGCAGCUAAAGAGUAUAAUUUUAAAAAAAGUCACAGAAGAAUGUGGAGACACUUAGCAAAACGGACUCUCAUAAGGAACUUCCAUUUUCUCAACAACUGCUCUUCCAAGAUGCUGCCUCAUUUCAGAGCCAUGUUUUACUCAUGAGCUGGUCCUGUCCAGAAAACAGCCAAUGCUCAUUCCCGACACUUUCUUGUCACUGCUCUUUUCUGUUCCCUAUUUUGUCAGUAAGGAAGUAAACAACCGCUAAAACAACCCUCUAACAACAGAAGACCCUCAUGAGAACACCAGGCAGCAGAAGCUUCUUUAGCAGUAAAAGAUAUCUGGAUAUUCAUAUUUUGUUCCAUGAUCUUCAACAUUAAAUAAAUAAACUUAAUAUUCAAGUCUCCUUCUG